CAAAAUUAUAGGGCAUGUCCGUGGCAGUAUUUGCUAGUAUUCUUCCAGAAAUCAAACAGAUAACAACUUGUAAUUUAAUUCCAAGCAUCAGUUAUUUUCAAUUUUUACCUUUAUUUUGUUCAUAUCCAACUAAUAACAAACAAAAUCACAUAAAUACAGUAUGCAGGGAUCAAUUUACCCAAUUUAUAGGCAUUUAGGGGCGAGAGCCACCUGGAGCCAGUGGGGGUAACUGCUCCAACUGGAUUUUGGACCUGGGUAUUUCACCGAUUGCACAUGAGGGACAAGGAGAAAACCAUAAACAACCGAAUAAAAAAUUUAUGAGAAAUAUUGCGGAGAAAUUCACUUUUUUCUAGAGGAAGAUCGCCAUCAAGAAACAACAAUUUUAGGGGGAAAAAAUCUAGGGAGUUGAGUUGAAAUUAAAUCAUUCACAACAAUCAGAUGGAGUGCGAUUUCAACAUAUAAAGCUACCUUUGGAGUUCGGUGACGAAGAAGUUGAGUAAAAAUCAUGCAACACAAGAUACCACAGGUCUCCCUCUUUCGGGUUUGAAACAGGUCUUUAUUGUUGGAUAUGCAUGGCUUUUAAUUUGGGCUUUGCAAGAUUUUAUUCCCUAAAAGAAAAGAGGAAACCAUAGAAUGUAGUUCUAAUCCAUUCUUCUAAUGGGCCUAAAGUAUGUAAGUAGUAAGCCCUAAUCAAGAUUGGGAUAAUUAGGCCCACUACUUUAAAAAGGAAACUAAUUAGAAUAAUAUACUUAAAACAUAAAUUAUGUCUUUAGUCAC
Molecule: long non-coding RNA, 777 nt
Filed under: Olea europaea (common olive)
Lineage: Eukaryota; Viridiplantae; Streptophyta; Magnoliopsida; Lamiales; Oleaceae
Description: long non-coding RNA (OEUR_LNC003372)
Source: RNAcentral